AUGGAGGGGUUUGGCAGGGAUUACACCCUCUACAAGUCAAAACCUCCUCCGAUCCACCCCAAUCCCCCUAUGAGGAGGUGUAACCGAACAAAGCCUAAAGAAGAAGAAGAUGUUCAACAAAGAAGAAGGGGAGGUAAUCUUGGAGCGAGACCGCCACAACAACGUGUUGUUCAACGUACUUCAAGAAGGACGAUUUAUGUUGAAACUUCUGAAGGUGAAGAAUAUGAUGAUACCCUUAAAGAACCUGAUCUCUAUGCAUAUCGGAGAGUACCCAGCCCUGCAUAUGCAAGGGAUACAUACAAGGUGAAAGCUGAGAUCCCAACUUUUAAUGGAAAUGUUGACAUUGAAGGGCGCCUUGAUUGGUUAUAUGAAGAGGAGACUUUCUUUGAGGCCAUGGAGGUUCGGAAGAUCGUACAGUUCCUUUGGUCGCGUACAAGCUAA
This 441-nucleotide ribosomal RNA is filed under the name Triticum aestivum (bread wheat). RNAcentral describes it as "partial small subunit ribosomal RNA". Lineage: Eukaryota; Viridiplantae; Streptophyta; Magnoliopsida; Poales; Poaceae. The record is from RNAcentral.